UCAUAGCAGCUAGCACUACUGCCUUAAACAAAUCUCGACAGAGCACAGAUUAAGGAUCACACAGGAUUCUCAUAUCAAGACAUGUCCGGAGCCUCAACAAACACGGGAAGUAAUGGUGAGCCUCUCUAUCAAAAUGCUCCACUGAUUAUUUGUCACACCUAAUGUAUAACGUGUUGGACGUACAUGCGUACGUGCAGGGUUACAUCACCCCGUGCCUCCCCAGGGAGGAUCACAAACCCGUCCCGAGUACAUUCCCCGACCUCAUGGAGAAAACGCUCCCUCUUCUGGUUAGUAUGCGUUAGGCAUGAGCCUUAUUUACUGUACCAUAUAUAGUUCAAAGACUUCGACUUUGAUUUCGCAUAUUGUUUACAACGGAAAGCAAAGCUUCCAGUGGUUCGAGCUGAGUCUCAACACUGCAUGUGCGAUAUGCUACGGCAUGCAUGGAUGUCUAGAGUGUUUCCAUUUCUUUUGAAUAUAUUUUUCCUGCUGCCUUUUUUCGUGGGUCCUAAGACUCUAGCAAACUUUCUUCCUCUGUUUUACCUUUUCGAUACCUCCAAAAGGUCUCCAUUUUAUAUCAUCCUGAAAAGGUUCGGAGGUACUACUGUUUUGUAUAUGAAGUACCUAAGUACCAAAUACUUAACUAUAAUUCUGUACGGCGCUCCUGGUACGUAAGGGUCCAAAAUGAGCUGUCUUUAUUUUUUUUUCUCCAAAAGAUCUUCUUUUUUAUUUUUUUCCUGGUAUCUUCUUUUUCUCCAAAAUUUUGUACCUCUUUGUACCUUUUAAGGGUCCAAAAUGAUCUCUCUUUAUUCUUUUUCCUCCUUGUUUGAUCCAUUCUUUUACCUUUCACCUCUACAUGCACCAAAUCUUGUUCUGAUAAACUAUCUCCACCCCUUUUCUUUGUCACUUGUACGCAAAAAGGUAUAUUUUCUUUCUCUAAACGCUAGCGGUUCUGAGGCCUCACUUGACGUAAUACCCUAAAUUUUGUUGGGAUUCUUGUUCACGCAUGCAGCCCCAGGAUAUAACGGCAUCAUAAAUCAUGUGCCAACUACUGGUACAACAGGGCACUAUCAAGCGCCUUACAAUAAUCAAGUUCAAGCAGGUCAGAAUGGAAGCACAAACAGAAACAUACAAGGUACAUACUAUUCGGUUCCUAGCUAGUACUUGCAGCCAUUUUAUAAUUUUUCUAAGAUAUCAUGUGUUCAUUUGCAUUUUGGCCUAGCCUGAGAAACACUAACGUUUCAAGGUUUUUUUAGCAGCUGGCGGUAUGUCUUCUACUGUGCCUGCGAUGGGUAGACGUUAAAUUAAAAUAUGUGAAGAAGAAGAUUUGUGUGUUUGUAAAUAUAUUAUGGUCGACUCAUAUGGUAGAAAGAAGAAAUAAAUUGUAUUUUCCUUGUUUAAAUUAUAGGUUUGAUGCAUUGGUUUUAUUUACAAUCAGGUCCCUGAAAUAAUGUAAACAUCCCUAUACAUUGAUUUGUACAUUGGAGCUUGUAACAGUUUUUUAUCAUAACUGUAUGAUUUCAUUUUCGACUCUUAUAUCACGAUUAAAAAGUCUUUUCAACAUUCAAAC
Molecule: long non-coding RNA, 1567 nt
Filed under: Setaria viridis
Lineage: Eukaryota; Viridiplantae; Streptophyta; Magnoliopsida; Poales; Poaceae
Description: long non-coding RNA (SVIR_LNC007122)
Source: RNAcentral